AAAAUUCUCACUUCAAUAAUUCACAAAUCUCUCUUUCUCUCUCACUUCAUUCAGUUACAAAGCGGUUACUAAAUUUCUUCUUCAUUCUUCAUCUAGAUCUCUUCAACAAUGGUGAGCAGAGAUAUCUUCAACAAUGGAUAUCAAGUUUGUCCUCCAAAAUUUUAUUAUCAAGUAAAUGAUCAGCAAUUAAUUUUCCAAAGGACUAGUGUGGUUGACAUUUUACACUUGUGGUACUUAUUUGAUAGCUAUUUUUCUGUGAAUUACUUGGUAUCCAUUAUUACAUAUUUGGAGGAUUAAUUUAGUUUUGAUGUGCGAAUGAUUUUGCUUGUAUCACAUCUUGUUAUUAUAAGCGGUACUUAUCCUUCACCAACUUAAAUUAAGUCAGAAAUGUGUGGUUUAUUUGGCUUUUGUUCAAUCGUGAUGUUGUUAAGGUUCAAUCAGUCAAUAGCUAGGUCAC
Molecule: long non-coding RNA, 457 nt
Filed under: Lupinus angustifolius (narrow-leaved blue lupine)
Lineage: Eukaryota; Viridiplantae; Streptophyta; Magnoliopsida; Fabales; Fabaceae
Description: long non-coding RNA (LANG_LNC002798)
Source: RNAcentral